This 2027-nucleotide long non-coding RNA is filed under the name Marmota monax (woodchuck). The record is from RNAcentral. Lineage: Eukaryota; Metazoa; Chordata; Mammalia; Rodentia; Sciuridae.
UUGUUGAUUUUGUUUGGAGUUUGUGACUGGCGCGGGUCCUUAACUUGCCCGUCUGCCUUCCCGGGGCGCUGCUCUUAACAGAGGCGAAUGGCGCUCUGCUUCACCCCCCUGCUGCCCUUCCCCUGCUGGAGCUGCUUUACCUCCACUGGCCUUGAGCUCCACAGGGCACUUCUAUCUGUUUACUUGACAGUACAUAUUUUUGCCUUAAACACUUAUCUUAAUUUAAGAGAUUUCAAAAAUAAAGAAGCUUUUUAUUUACCCACAUAUUAACCAUUUCUGAUACUCUUUGUUUCUUUAAGUAGAUCCAGAUUUCCUUGUGAUAUUAUUUUCCUUUUGCUUAAAGAAUUUAAAUGUGUCUAAUGGUGUAUGUCUGUCAUUGAGGACAUCAGCUUUUGCAUGUCUGAGAAGAGUCAGUUUUGUAUUUGAAAGGUUUCUGUUUGUUGGGUAUAGAAUGGGGAAGUUGGUAUUGUCUAGUUGGUAUCAGGGAUUGAACCCAGAGGUGCUUAACCACUGAGCCACAUCCCCAGCCUUUUUUCAUAUUUUAUUUAGAGGCAGGGUCUCACUAAGUUGCUUAGGGCCUUGCUAAGUUGCUGAGGCUGGCUCUGAACUCCAUGCUGCUCCUGCCCCAGCCUCCCUAGCCGCUGGGAUUACAGGUGUGUGCCACUGCACCUGGCCUGUUGUCUGUUGCUCUGCCAUCUGGCUUAUUAAUAAGUAAAUUGUCAUUCUUUGUUCUAUAAAUAAAGUGAGUUUUUCCCUGGUUGAUUAAAAGUAUCAAAAACUAUUUUCUUAUAGCUAUUUUUUUUUUUUAAACCAUUUAAAGUGUUAGGGUCAAUUUGGUCCUAGAUGAUCCACCUUAGUCAGAAGUAGAAGAGCAUGUUUGGGUGUUUCUUUAAAUAUAAAAGCUGUCUUCAUUUUAGCAAACUGGAAUAGUUGGAAGUGCUGCCUUUUGUAGUGGCUUUCUGAUGGCAUUCUCUUGGGGGUGGAAUAGUUCUUUUAGUGCACUGCUCAGAGUACAGUGCCACAAGAUGGGCCCAUCCCAUGGACUCACUCACAUUUUAAAGAGGCCUUUUUUGGGCCAUACUGGGGAUUGAACCAAUGGGCCGCACUCCAUCACUGAGGGUGUGCCCAGUCGGAGCAGUGACAGUGGGGUCUAAUUGGGACAUGAGAGGCCUUUUCUAUUCCUCAUGUGGCAGCAUUGUGGUGCUUCUCAUGUUGUGGUGUUUUUGCUUUCCUGAGCAAAGACCUGGAGCAAAGAUAAAAUCUGGUUGUGAGUGAUGAACAGAUUGGUUGCAGAAAAGCUUAAGUGUUUCUUUGUGCCAGGAAAUAUUCUUGGAGAUAAAGCAGUGAAUAAGGUGAAAAUUCCUGUCCUCCUGGAGCCCAUAUCUAGCUCUGCAGAGACAGAUGGAAAGUUAAGGCAAGCUAGCAAAUCGGAGGUGGUGACAGGCAGGAAUGGAGGGUGUUAAUCACCGUGGAGGGGGAUGUCUGGGAGCGCUUAUGCUUCGGGCAGGGCCUGACCUCCUGGUGUUGGGAGCUCUUACUGGAGUCUCGAGCUUCCAUCUCCUCCAGCCUCACGAUUCUCCCAUCAGUUAUAUUCCCUUUUCCCCAGCACUUGGAUUUAUAUUUAUUUGUUGACUAUUUACUUUUAUCAUAUAAGCAUGUUUCAAAUCUUUCUCUUUUUAAAAUAUUAGAAACUAAACAAAAUAAAAAGUAAUCUUCGUCGAGCCUUGGGUGUCCUGGCUAAUUGUUCUAACAGUUACAUUUCCGCAGGGCACCUUUUGAGCUGGUUAUCUUCCUCUGUAUAUUGUUUUUCUCAGCCAUGACUGUGGUCUGGCCCCUCCACUUUGAUAGCACAAGAAUCACACCUGAUAGGUGACAGUACCACAUUCAAUGGGCAGGUGCCAGUUAGUCGUGCCUUCAGAUUCUGUCUGCCUUGUAUCUUUGAAGCUCUUACCUUCUGCUAGUUUCAUCCAUUCUCUUCUGGUUCUCCCUCCUCUUCUGGCAGUGUAAGCGGUUUCUGGCCUUGCAGU